GGCUGUCCSAGUUGUAAUCUAGAGAAGUAUUAUCCGCGCUGGACCGUGUACAAGUCUCCUGGAAUGGAGCGUCAUAGAGGGUGAGAAUCCCGUCUUUGACACGGACUGCCAGGGCUUUGUGAUGUGCUCUCGAAGAGUCGAGUUGUUUGGGAAUGCAGCUCAAAAUGGGUGGUAAAUUCCAUCUAAAGCUAAAUAUUGGCGAGAGACCGAUAGCGAACAAGUACCGUGAGGGAAAGAUGAAAAGAACUUUGGAAAGAGAGUUAAACAGUACGUGAAAUUGCUGAAAGGGAAACGCUUGAAGUCAGUCGCAUUGGCCAGGGAUCAACCUUGCUUUUUUGCUUGGCUUACUUUCUGGUUGAUGGGUCAGCAUCAAUUUUGACUGGUAGAAAAAGUUCAAGGGAAUGUGGCAUCUUCGGAUGUGUUAUAGCCUUUGUUCACAUAUAUCAGUUGGGAUUGAGGAACUCAGCACGCCGCAAGGCCGGGUUUUUAACCACGUACGUGCUUAGGAUGCUGGCAUAAUGGCUUUAAUCGACCCGUCUUGAAACACGGACCAAGGAGUCUAACAUGCCUGCGAGUGUUUGGGUGAAAAACCCGAGCGCGUAAUGAAAGUGAAAGUUGAGAUCCCUGUCAUGGGGAGCAUUGACGCCCGGAUCUGACCUUUUGUGACGAUUCUGCGGUAGAGCAUGUAUGUUGGGACCCGAAAGAGGGUGAACYAUGCCCGAAWAGGGUAGUUCC
RNAcentral lists this ribosomal RNA (735 nucleotides) under Laccaria sp. 1 TM02_43. RNAcentral describes it as "eukaryotic LSU rRNA". It matches the Rfam family "Eukaryotic large subunit ribosomal RNA", at positions 132 to 853 of the family's 3401-position model. The record is from RNAcentral. Lineage: Eukaryota; Fungi; Basidiomycota; Agaricomycetes; Agaricales; Hydnangiaceae.